Molecule: small RNA, 789 nt
Filed under: Pongo abelii (Sumatran orangutan)
Lineage: Eukaryota; Metazoa; Chordata; Mammalia; Primates; Hominidae
Description: processed transcript
Source: RNAcentral
ACUCGCGGUCCGCAGGAUGACUCAGGGCAGCCCUGACCACAGUUCCGCCGCCAUCGGCCCUAGCCUGCGGAGUUGGGCUCGCCCCAGGACGAUAACAGAGCUCUACCGGGGGCUGGAGGCACUGACCGGGUGACCAGAGACCCUCCACGGCGCCCGGGAUUUCAGGGACGGCUCCUCCCAUCGCAAGUAGGGCUUGGACGAGAGGCGACAAAAGAGAACUUGGUCCGCACACAGCCACCGAAAUUGGAAUGAGGAGCUGUAGGGAGGCCCCGUAGCCAGCAGAAAAGCAUUGGGGUCCCUGGCUGGGUUAGCCCAGGUUUCUAGGAGUGUGGUAAGCGUCGAAUGACUUUUGUCCUUUUAAAGCACAUUAUGUUACUUUUUCCCCAAGGUUUCAACAGAAAGUGAGAAAUAUCCCCCCGACGAUUGGCUGAAAACAUGCAGCAACCACUAUUUUCUUCCUGCCCCUCGUUGAUGAGAGCAUUCGAAGUGACCUCAGCAGGGCAUCCAGGUCAGUUUCUGGAAGACGUGUGUGUGGUGAAUGAAUAUCUGGUUUUGUCUCUGCUGGGCCUGUGUGCCUGUAAAGGAAUUGUUUUGGCCUAGGAUCAUCCAGAUCAAUUAUGCAGCUACAGCCAAAACCAAGUUCUUUUUAUUGCAAUGGUAAUGAAAGGAGCUCCAUGUAAGUCAUUGGAAGGUCACAUGUUCACAGACUGUCAGCUGUGGAGGGUUAUGUAACAGUGGUUAUGCAAUGCCACGUUAGAACUGCAGCCCAAGCAGCAAAACAUUUAGAUU